This is a long non-coding RNA of Tympanuchus pallidicinctus (lesser prairie-chicken), 4914 nucleotides long. RefSeq lists it as uncharacterized. The record is from RefSeq and is a predicted model, not a curated record. NCBI's taxonomy places the organism in Eukaryota, Metazoa, Chordata, Aves, Galliformes, Phasianidae. The transcript has 7 exons.
AGGAGCAACAGGGAUUUGCAAUAGGGAAGGGAUUAGGUUCAAUGAGCUCUGGUGAACAGCUUCCACCUCCUGUGCUAGAGAGGUCCAGUCAUUGUGUCACAAGUGUGGGCCCAAGGGAAAUAAAUAGAACACGUUAAGGAAGGAUCAGCCUGAAAGGAUCCAGACAUGCAAUAAAGUCCCAGGUUGCUGAUGGGGGAGGGAAUGAAAUUCCUGCUCUCCUCAAAGCAGUGAGUGAUUAGCUCUAAAAGCCAUGUGCCAACGCUCCUCCGGCUGCCGUUGUUCAAGAUAAAAUAACAGGUCAUCUGUUGGAGCAGAGGUCCUUCCAGACUGAGGUCUAAUUUCUGUGCUCCGGGGGCUUAAGUGCUGGUUCAAAGGUCACCAAGCAGCACCAGUCACCGAGCAAGGACGAAGCUCAUUUUCACUCAAAACAGAGCCUGCAGAGCAGGACUCUGCAUGCAGUCAAUCACACACAGCUUGGAUCUGCACAUUCUCAACGGAGAAGGAGAUGUUUGGAGAUCAAUAGUGCAGACGGAUGGUGCCAGAGCAGAUGCUAGUGCAGAGAUAGGGCUUACCUUCCCUCUCAUAGCCAAAAAGCUUGAAGCACAGAACUGCUGAAUAAAUUGUAGGAGCUACAGAUAAGCUUGUGGGGAACCUCCAUGGAUCUGCACACCAAAACUCCAUGACUCCAUCCAGGAACCACAUUAUUGCUACGCCAACUGUGCCUUCAGCUGAGUGGUGGAUGAUCUUCAUCCCAACAAAAGAUGCUUGUGGGGCAUGGACAAAACUUUACCUGAUUGUCUGGAGCCAGCACAGAAAGGCAUAACUUUGGGCUUCUUAAGAUCUGCAGAUAGGAACCUCCUGGCAGUGUGUGCAGAAACGAUCAGGCCCACAAGGACAACACGGGACGAAUCAAUCAUACAAGAUGGAUGAGGCCACUGGGUGAUGCUUGGGUGAAAACCGCUUCCAGAUUUCACACCAGCUUCACUUUUGUGCCCCGGCUGAAAACACAGCUUUAUUGCAUGACCAUAAGUAACACAGGAAGGCACUCACCACUCCGUUUUGUGCAGCUUUUGUUUGUGAUAGUUUUAAUUUACUGCUGAAGUGAAUCCGAGACUGAUAAUUUUAUGAUUUUUUACCGAGAGAAGACAUUAAGCUACUUACUUUGGCUGCACUUCCUACUCUGCAGAAAUUAUUUAUCCAAGCACAGCGGCAAAGUGGGUCAGGGGAGGAAUAAUAAUAAUAAUAAUAAUAAAAAGAAACUGCCCACAAAAAUCUUGAAUCCCUUGCAGAAGUUGGAUUAAGGCUCAAGAUACUGGAUGCAAACCGCUGCCACGUUCUCCAUUUCAAAGGAAAGGUGUCAGCUCAGGCAGCGAUGUAAAAGACUGCAAAGUUUGGGCUGCAAAAUCCCCUUCCCACCGUUUUCCAUGCUGGUCACAAAGGAACAAAGAGCUGGAUUUGGUUCUGCAAGCUGCUCUGCCUUUUCCUCAAGGGAUAUAAACCCCAAGGAGUGAGUUGCUUCAUUGAUUCUAUGAAAAAGAGCAGAGAAAGCACUUGGGAAAAUAUGGGUAAGCAGCAGUGCUCAUGAGGAGGAGGGGAGAACAGGGAAGAGAAAGCUUUUUUUCCUGUAUUUUCUACCACCAACUGCUCAGUUUGGGUGAAAUAGGAGAGUCACAUCUUUUCCCAACUCUCUAAAGUGAGGCAACUUUGCUGAGGCCCCGGCUUGAACCGUACUGUGCCCAGAUAUCAUCAGAUCCUGCACAAGAAAAAUAAAGAGCUCAAGUUGCAAGAGAAGAGCGAUGGAGGAGUGAAACUCGAGAGGAGCAUGCAGUUUGCUGACAGCUCCCUGCAGCUCAAACCAACCCAUCAGGGCUGCAGUAAAGCCUUGGAGCAGCAGCAUUCUGCUCCAGGAAAAUCAACAUGGUGCAGCUGGGAGGGGAUUAUGCUCAUGCAGAACGAUCUCUGCAGUGGCACCAGAGGAAGAGAUCACACCAUUUGCAAAAGCGAUCUGUGCAGGUGAGAAGGGAAGCACAAGCCACACCAGCAGCUCAGCUAAUCAAAAAGGAUCUAGCAUUAAUAAGCCAGAAGUGGAGGAAAAGAGAUAAAACCUGGCAAGGCUGUUGGCAGAAGGAUGCUUUUCUCACCUCACCAGCAGGAAUCCAACCCACAAAAACCAAAUGCAUUUCUUACAUUAGACAAUUAAAACCCAUCUUAAUCCUGGGAGACUUCAGGUGGCAUAGCAUGCUGUUAUUUAAUUGCGCCUUCCAGGGCUGAUUAGCUAUCCAAGCAGCAAGGCAUCUCCACCUCCAGUAGAAGUAAAGGAAGAGAGAGCAGUGGGAUGGAACCUCUAGACCAAGAAGGUACGACAGCCACAGUGGGAUCAAAGUAACUCCAAGUUGAACAAAGUCUGAUCUUAGAGAGGCUAACUGGAAUUUUAUUCCCAGUUUCUAUAAGGGCAUCGGUAGUGGUUGUAGAUCCAGGCACGGUAUGGUUGAGAUGGGGUGCAGGUGGGCUGGAUGUGAUCUGCUGGAUCCCAGCCUUGUCAGGAAAUUCAAUUCAUUCUUCAGAGUGAUGUUGUCAGUGACCUCUGUUGACUGUGUGGAGCAUCACAGACAGCCCUGUGAGCACAGCCCACCUCUCCACUCUGGGAAAUAGCUCAGAACACCAAACUCACAAGUAGAAAAGUGCCUGAGCCAGCAGGAACAGGCCUUCAGCUGGGAAGGUGGGUAAAUUUGGAGCAAGAAGACCAGUGUUUGCAAAAUGAAAUUCUGGAAUGAUUUCAGAUUGCCUUGAUUAAAGCCAGAUUUGUUGCCUUGUGUCCAUUUUAGGUUAGCUGUGAGGUUGCUUCUUUUCCAUAGGUGUUUCCAUGGCUACUUAAUGAAGCUUUCGCUCUAGCUUCUCACUUGGAAAGUAGGAAUUGGGACAAAUUUGAAGAGCUUUUAAAGGGGUGAAAAAUAGCUGAGUUAAUUUGGCCUCUCCUCUACUCAUCCACCCUCCCUGACAAGACAGAUGUGAUGUUGGUCUCCACAAAGUGAUUAGAGGUGAGACCUGUGGGCAAACUGGGAAGUACAGCCCUGCCUGUCCCAUGCGAUCAUCCUUACUGAAACGUUUCAAAUAAGCCUCAGCUUGCUUGCAGAUGUCAGGAUGAAGCAGAGAAGUUCAUUUCCUCCUGCAAGUGAAAGGUCACCGAGGAGCAGCACUCGUGGCAAUCUCCAUGUGUACCCAGCAGACAUGAUGAGAGGGACGUUUGCCACACAGGCAGCACUUGUUGCAGCUCUGGCUUGCACUGGUUGUACAUACUCAACCUCAACCAACCUCUGUCUUCCUAAAUGUUGCAUCCAUCGUCCAGUCUGGGAUUUCACAGGCAAUCUGGUGCCAGGAGCCAUUUGGAUGAUGCCAACCUGCUGAACACACCCAGGUCAUGGCCUGAACCAGUGAUUGAACACCUGGUGAAGGGGAGCAGCCAGCCCUGAGAGCACAGGUGGAAGCAAUUCACCUGUGCAACCAGAAGGGUCCACCCCUCCCUAGCCUCAUUUAAGGGCUGGCAGCUGUAAGAGAAAGAUCUCUGCUUGGAUAUUCCUUCUUUUGGAGUGUUUGGUGAGCCUCGAUCCUUAGAAAGGGAGUUACAGCACUUUCCUUUGAACUCGGUGCUACCCAAAACUCACUGAGGACUGGAUCUCUGGGACACCUACAGAGAAGCAUUUGCAGAAUAGGAGUUAAAGUCAUGUUCCAUGGGGAUGUUAAUUCAAUUUGCAUCUUGGGAAAUAAACUUCAUUUCUGCAAAGUCCCUGAACACCUCACACAGGCAGAAGUCAGGAGAAAAACUGUUGAAGAGUGAUCCUUGAGAAGUCUGGAUCCACAGGAGUGCUGAGGAGGGUUGAAUGUCAGCUCUACAUCCAAACCUCAGCCAGUAGAGAAAGGAUGACAUCUCCGUGAUUCAAUUUCUCCAGCUGGUUUCUUAAUUCCUUUGCCACAUGGAUGUGAAGUGCUACUUCCUCCUUUCUCUAGCGAGUUCAGUAAUCUUGUUUGUGCACCAGUGGCGAUUAAAAAAUGGAGUGCUCAGGUUGAAGGCAUUUCAAGACCAGCAGGCUGGCUAAAGCAGAUAUAGUUGGUUAUGGGAGACUGGUAAAGGCCCACAUAGAGUGGCUCAUUACCUCGAGACACUGUGACUAAUGUUUUGAGAUUUGUUUGUUGGCACUGAUAUUUUGAAUGGCCCUGAUGAGUUCUUGUCAAUGGUGCUCUGUCCCACUGGGGCAGCUCCUGGCAUUUUUCUUCCCACACAUUGCACUCAAGACAGCAUUUUGAGACUACUGGGACUGAGAAAAUCAUUCCUCAUCCAGACCAUAACUGAAGAAACUUCACAGCCAGAUCAAUGCAGCUGACUCCAUUUGGCAGUUUGGACAAGGAUGAAUAUCAGUCUGGGGCGGUGGGAAUCAAGAGUGGUGAUACAAGCAGUGUUAAGCUUAAAAUGGCAUUGUGCUAUGCCAAGUUUUGCUGGAUGUAAACAUCCACAAGCAGGAAAAGGGAUGUCAUCAUCUUGAAAAAUGAAACAAUGUGAAGAGGUUUCCAGUUUGGUGCUGAAGGUGUUGGUUGGUUCUGCACCAUUUGGGUGUGCUGUUGAGUACAGGUGAUAUCAUCCAUCUGACAGCACUCAGCUGAGAAUUUCUUUCAGAACAAUUGAAAUGAGCUGCUCAUACCAUCAAGGAAACAGCAAGCAAGCAGAGAAGUUAAAAAGCCAAAUCUCCUUUCAGGACAAAGCAGCAAAACCAUCACUGAAAUAUGAGCAGUAAGCAUCAAAGAAAGGCUGAUGUGGUUUUUGAUAUACCUGGAUGUCACUCCUCCCCCCCUCCAUGUUCAACAUAUUGUGUCAGCUGAAAUGCAUUGGGCCCCUCCAAAGCAACAGCAAAUAUCUGGGAA